CGUAUAGAAGGGCAAACCCGGCGAAAGCCGGGGGCGCAAAGCUACGGGCCUAAGGGCGGGGAGGCCUAAGGUCGCCGGGCUGCCGGG
Molecule: non-coding RNA, 87 nt
Filed under: Moorella sp. (in: firmicutes)
Lineage: Bacteria; Bacillati; Bacillota; Clostridia; Neomoorellales; Neomoorellaceae
Description: Moorella sp. c-di-GMP sequence
Rfam family: c-di-GMP-I riboswitch aptamer
About the family: GEMM was predicted in a large-scale screen for bacterial structured RNA regulatory elements.
Source: RNAcentral